GAGGGCAGUGUUCAAUUACCGGCUGAGUCGUGCAAGGAGGCUCAUAGAAAACAGUUUUGGUAUCCUGGCUAGUAGGUGGCGAAUACUGAAGAGACCUUUUCGAGCGUCAGAAGAAACCACUGAGAAGAUUCUAAGGGCAUGUGUGGCGCUCCACAAUUUUCUGAUGAAAGAUUCGGUGUUCGCAAGGACAACGUACAACCCUCCUGGAUUUGUUGACCAUGAAGACUGGGAGGGAAAUGUCAUAAAUGGGGCAUGGAGGAAUGACAGUAGUGCCCUUCCUGGAUGGACAGACCAGGGGUACCACUCUGCUCGGGCUGCAUUGGAAGUAAGGGAUAGACUGGCAUCCUACUUCAUGAGUGACGGCCAGGUGCCAUGGCAGGAAAGUGUCGUGACCCGUGCAGGACGGCAGGUUGCAGCGUCGGAGGACCAGUGAGGACCGAGCCAUCACCAAUGCCUCGACUAUCUCCACACCUGCGCCGUGCCGAAUGAGGUCCACGAGCAGCGGGUGGUGGUGGACGAGCUCGAUCGCUCGUGCUCCGCUGCUGCCGUCGUCCGAGUCGCCGUUGAGCACAAAGCGGGCAGCAGGCUCGAUGAGACAGCCAUUCCUUUUUGCUGGGCCUGGGAGAAAGAGCAAUUGCCUGAUAAGCAUUUACGCAUUUCUCGUGCAGUGAUGU
Molecule: non-coding RNA, 674 nt
Organism: Dermacentor albipictus
Lineage: Eukaryota; Metazoa; Arthropoda; Arachnida; Ixodida; Ixodidae
Source: RefSeq, a predicted model, not a curated record